RNAcentral lists this ribosomal RNA (253 nucleotides) under uncultured microorganism. Its description in RNAcentral is "partial 16S ribosomal RNA". It matches the Rfam family "Bacterial small subunit ribosomal RNA", at positions 524 to 776 of the family's 1533-position model. The record is from RNAcentral.
UACGUAGGGUGCGAGCGUUAAUCGGAUUUACUGGGCGUAAAGCGUGCGCAGGCGGCCCGUUAAGACAGAUGUGAAAUCCCUGGGCUCAACCUAGGAAUUGCGCUUGUGACUGGCGGGCUAGAGUACGGUAGAGGGGGGUGGAAUUCCUGGUGUAGCAGUGAAAUGCGUAGAGAUCAGGAGGAACACCGAUGGCGAAGGCAGCCCCCUGGGCCUGUACUGACGCUGAUGCACGAAAGCGUGGGGAGCAAACAGG